This 278-nucleotide ribosomal RNA is filed under the name uncultured Eubacteriales bacterium. Its description in RNAcentral is "uncultured Clostridiales bacterium partial 16S ribosomal RNA". It matches the Rfam family "Bacterial small subunit ribosomal RNA", at positions 67 to 339 of the family's 1533-position model. Lineage: Bacteria; Bacillati; Bacillota; Clostridia; Eubacteriales. The record is from RNAcentral.
UGAGAUCUUCGGAUGGAUUUUAAAACAGCUUAGUGGCGGACGGGUGAGUAACGCGUGGGUAACCUGCCUCACACUGGGGGAUAACAGUUAGAAAUAGCUGCUAAUACCGCAUAAGCCCACGGCCCGGCAUCGGGCUGAGGGAAAAGGAUUUAUUCGCUUCAGGAUGGACUCGCGUCCAAUUAGCUAGUUGGUGGGGUAACGGCCUACCAAGCCAACGAUCAGUAGCCGACCUGAGAGGGUGAUCGGCCACAUUGGGACUGAGACACGGCCCAGACUCC